RNAcentral lists this ribosomal RNA (257 nucleotides) under uncultured bacterium. Its description in RNAcentral is "partial 16S ribosomal RNA". It matches the Rfam family "Bacterial small subunit ribosomal RNA", at positions 524 to 777 of the family's 1533-position model. The record is from RNAcentral.
UACAGAGGUCCCAAGCGUUGUUCGGAUUCACUGGGCGUAAAGGGUGCGUAGGCGGUCAGGUAAGUCUGAUGUGAAAUCUCUGGGCUUAACCCAGAAAUGGCAUUGGAUACUAUUUGGCUUGAGAGUUGGAGGGGGGACUGGAAUUCUUGGUGUAGCAGUGAAAUGCGUAGAUAUCAAGAGGAACACCAGUGGCGAAGGCGAGUCCCUGGACAACUUCUGACGCUGAGGCACGAAAAGCUAGGGGGGAGCAAAACGGG